UAGAGUUUUUUGGUAGCAUACAGUGACAUUUCCUGCUGUAACUUUCAUGUCUCACAAGCUCUGUUUACCAGAAACUCCAGUUUUAUCUGAUGGGACAUAGCACAGCAAUACAAUAUGAGCAAAGCUAACCAAGCGAAAAGCACAAGUAGACAAUUCUAGAAAUAAAAGGUGAUUUUAACGCGCUAUACUAGGAUUUUCAUAUAGAAAAAAGUCAAGAUUAGUAUUUUUUUUCCUAUGGUUGAUUAAGACCUGUCAGAAUCGCUAAAAUAAUUUGUUAAAAGUUUGAAAAUUGUACAUUGUUAAAUUGUAAUUGUAGUUCCUUUAUUUUUAAUGACCCUGACUUAUAGGUUAGAGGUUCUAAAACGCUCCUAAAAAUAGGCCUAAAUUACCACUGGUGUCUUCUUUUGUACAGUAGCUCUCAUUUCUUAUCUGAGGACAACACAACAACAUUCCCUGGAUCUUGCUGCAAUGUUUUUUUGAGAGAGUGUAGUGAAGAAUUUGAGGUCAAAUGUUCACUGAUGUCCUGCGCUUGUCUCUCCGACAAGCGCUUGCACAUGAGCUGAAACACACACACACACACACGAAAGCAGACAGGUCAAGCAUACAACGCUGGAGUUGGUUACAUAAACCAGAUGGCUGUGGCUGGCAUGAAGAAGCUGACAUCUAAGAGUUGUGUGAGUGUGUGUGUGUUUGUGUGUGUGAUUGUGUGUGGAUGUACCUACAGUAUCCUUCAGUAUAACACAUGAGGGACUCUGUUUGUUUUCUUUGCACCACAGGGGAAAUGCUGUCAGCUUUACAAGUGUAUUGAUUCCCACCACACACACACCGAAACAAAAGGGCCAGAGAAACAAGGGCUGUCCAAGUCUGUGAUGAUCUGGGUGCAGGCUGGUGUGUAUGUGGGUCUCUCCUGCUUCUUCCUUGCAGGGUGUGACUCGCAGGUGUCCGCAGCUGCAGCACAUCAGGACUAAAGGAGGAAACGCACCAGAUGUGUUCCAGCGUAUCCUGGAGCUCUUCUCAACUUGUCCUCUGGGCAACUUCUAGUCAUUUCCUGAAUUCCCACCAAGCAACUGAACUCACCUGAAUGAAUAAUAUCGAUACAACACCUGAAAGACUCACCUGCAUCUGCUGCCCAACUCCUCAAUUAAUCUAAAGGAGUGGUCUGUUUGCAAAAGAGAAAAUACAGAAACCAAUAAAUACUUACCAGUCCGACCAAAGUGAUUACACCGUAGGAACUUGCAAUUCUUUAUUUCUUCUUGUCUUGUAUAAUUUCAAUUCUUUUAGUAGUAUAAUGUGAGACAUCACCAUGGAAAAGGACAAAUUUAAUAGUUAAUGCCCAUUAUAGGUGUGUUUAACAUCAGGCUAGGAUUGCAUGUUUUAGGUUUUCCAUAACAUUUACAGUCAUAUUAAAUAAAAUAGAAUAUGGGUUCCAAUGAGGCUGGUUUGUCAGAUUGUUGUCAGAAGUACCUUUUGAAAAUAACCUUUAAGCAAGUCUAAACAUAUUUUUCAUGAAGCCCAUUUUUCUGUUUUAAAAUGUUUUAUUUUUAUCAAUCUGGUGUAAAAUUCUGAUCCUAAAUGUCAUGUUUUCAUUAGCUGUAAGUGGAAAGUUGUCACCAACAUAAAUAAAGGCUUGAAAUCAUAAAUCUGUGUGAAAUUGAUCUAUUUAAUGUGUUUCACUUAGUGAGUUACUCAAAUAAAUUAAAGGCAGCAAGGUUUUUGUUCCACUAAUGUAGGUA
Molecule: long non-coding RNA, 1733 nt
Organism: Fundulus heteroclitus (mummichog)
Lineage: Eukaryota; Metazoa; Chordata; Actinopteri; Cyprinodontiformes; Fundulidae
Exons: 3
Source: RefSeq, a predicted model, not a curated record